CGCGCAGGUGGUUUCUUAAGUCUGUCUUAAAAGUGCGGGGCUUAACCCCGUGAGGGGACGGAAACUGGGAGACUAGAGUAUCGGAGAGGAAAGCGGAAUUCCCAGUGUAGCGGUGAAAUGCGUAGAUAUUAGGAGGAACACCAGUGGCGAAAGCGGCUUUCUGGACGACAACUGACACUGAGGCGCGAAAGCCAGGGGAGCAAACG
RNAcentral lists this ribosomal RNA (206 nucleotides) under uncultured bacterium. RNAcentral describes it as "partial 16S ribosomal RNA". It matches the Rfam family "Bacterial small subunit ribosomal RNA", at positions 568 to 774 of the family's 1533-position model. The record is from RNAcentral.